Molecule: ribosomal RNA, 149 nt
Filed under: Frankia sp. KB5
Lineage: Bacteria; Bacillati; Actinomycetota; Actinomycetes; Frankiales; Frankiaceae
Description: partial 16S ribosomal RNA
Rfam family: Bacterial small subunit ribosomal RNA
Source: RNAcentral
AUUGAUGGAGAGUUUGAUCCUGGCUCAGGACGAACGCUGGCGGCGUGCUUAACACAUGCAAGUCGAGCGGGGAGCUUCGGCUCUCAGCGGCGAACGGGUGAGUAACACGUGGGCAACCUGCCCCGAGCUCUGGAAUAACCUCGGGAAAC